AGACCCUAAAUUAGAGGUGACACACCUAACGAACUUAGUCAUAGCUGGUUUCUCAAGAAAAGAAUUUUAGUCCAACCUAAAGUAAUUCAGAUUUCUAUUAAUCCUCACCUUACUUUAGAGCAAUUCAAAUGAGGCACAGCCCAUUUGACAAAGGAUACAACCUUCACUAACGGRUAAUACUUUACUUUCAUCUUCAAGUGGGCUUAAGAGCAGCCACCUUUUUAAAAGCGUCAAAGCUUAAUUGUGCUAAUAUUAAUUUAAAAAACAACAUUGACCCCUUUAAUUGUACUGAGAACUUCUAUAAUAAUAUAGAACCUUUUAUGCUAAAACUAGUAACAAGAGAAAACUCCUCUCUUUAAUGCCAACAUACGCCAACAGGAACCCCUCACUGGCAAUUAACAGACCUAAACAAAAGUAGCAACCUCACUAGAAAACCCUACUCUUACACCUGUCAACCUAACACCAGAGCAUUUCAAGAAAGAUUAAAAGAAAAAGAAGGAACUCGGC
This 507-nucleotide ribosomal RNA is filed under the name Pristimantis resistencia. RNAcentral's name for it is "Pristimantis sp. r JAO-2022 partial large subunit ribosomal RNA". The record is from RNAcentral. Lineage: Eukaryota; Metazoa; Chordata; Amphibia; Anura; Strabomantidae.